RNAcentral lists this ribosomal RNA (496 nucleotides) under uncultured bacterium. Its description in RNAcentral is "partial 16S ribosomal RNA". It matches the Rfam family "Bacterial small subunit ribosomal RNA", at positions 29 to 507 of the family's 1533-position model. The record is from RNAcentral.
AUGCACGCUGGCGGCGUGCCUAAUACCUGCAAGUCGAGCGAACGGACGAGAAGCUUGCUUCUCUGAUGUUAGCGGCGGACGGGUGAGUAACACGUGGAUAACCUACCUAUAAGACUGGGAUAACUUCGGGAAACCGGAGCUAAUACCGGAUAAUAUUUUGAACCGCAUGGUUCAAAAGUGAAAGACGGUCUUGCUGUCACUUAUAGAUGGAUCCGCGCUGCAUUAGCUAGUUGGUAAGGUAACGGCUUACCAAGGCAACGAUGCAUAGCCGACCUGAGAGGGUGAUCGGCCACACUGGAACUGAGACACGGUCCAGACUCCUACGGGAGGCAGCAGUAGGCAAUCUUCCGCAAUGGGCGAAAGCCUGACGGAGCAACGCCGCGUGAGUGAUGAAGGUCUUCGGAUCGUAAAACUCUGUUAUUAGGGAAGAACAUAUGUGUAAGUAACUGUGCACAUCUUGACGGUACCUAAUCAGAAAGCCACGGCUAACUACGUG